GCACCGGGAUGGUCUAGCCAUGCGAGUCGUUGUAGCAAUACAAGGCAGACGGCUCAGUAACACGUAGUCAAUCUACCCUAUAGACGUGGAUAACCUCGGGAAACUGAGAAUAAUAUACGAUAGAUCAUAAUGCCUGGAAUGGUUUAUGAUUGAAAUGAUUUAUCGCUGUAGGAUGGGACUGCGGCCUAUCAGCUUGUUGGUGGGGUAAUGGCCCACCAAGACUAUUACAGGUACGGGCUCUGAGAGGAGUAGCCCGGAGAUGGGUACUGAGACACGGACCCAGGCCCUAUGGGGCGCAGCAGGCGAGAAAACUUUGCAAUGUGCGAAAGCACGACAAGGUUAAUCCGAGUGGUUCCUGCUAAAGGAACCUUUUGUCGGUCCUAGAAACACCGAUGAAUAAGGGGUGGGCAAGUUCUGGUGUCAGCCGCCGCGGUAAAACCAGCACCUCAAGUGGUCAGGAUGAUUAUUGGGCCUAAAGCAUCCGUAGCCGGCUCUGUAAGUUUUCGGUUAAAUCCAUGCGCUCAACGUAUGGGCUGCCGGGAAUACUGCAAAGCUAGGGAGUGGGAGAGGUAGACGGUACUCGGUAGGAAGGGGUAAAAUCCUUUGAUCUAUUGAUGACCACCUGUGGCGAAGGCGGUCUACCAGAACACGUCCGACGGUGAGGGAUGAAAGCUGGGGGAGCAAACCGGAUUAGAUACCCGGGUAGUCCCAGCUGUAAACUAUGCAAACUCAGUGAUGCAUUGGCUUGAUGCCAAUGCAGUGCUGCAGGGAAGCCGUUAAGUUUGCCGCCUGGGGAAGUACGUACGCAAGUAUGAAACUUAAAGGAAUUGGCGGGGGAGCACCACAAAGGGUGAAGCCUGCGGUUCAAUUGGAGUCAACGCCGGGA
RNAcentral lists this ribosomal RNA (886 nucleotides) under uncultured archaeon. RNAcentral's name for it is "bacterial SSU rRNA". It matches the Rfam family "Archaeal small subunit ribosomal RNA", at positions 29 to 923 of the family's 1478-position model. The record is from RNAcentral.